UUUUAUCUUUCAGGAGAUCGGUUCAUCUUUUCAUAUAUAUGCCUAUGGUUGUUCCACAUGAUAAGUUCUAGAUUGUAGAAUGAUUCUUUAACAUUCAAAUCACGAUGACAUUUUUUCAGACCCGACCUAGCCCCUAAAAUGCUCUAGUCCAUAUUGGGCGGCAAGCCUAUGACUUUGGGCAAAUCGCUGCUUUGAAUCUUAAUGGACUAAGAAAAUAUGUCUCCCUGGCUGAUCAGAAACUCUGUAAAGUAGCACAUUUACCACCGGUUGGGGCUUUUCUUCUUUGAAGCCAUUAAUCUAUUUUAGAGUUCUUCUCAAGUGUCUGUUCUUCACCAAACUUGUACUGCAGUCCAUCUUGGCAAAGUGAGGAAGUCUACUUGGCAAUGUCUUGCUUUGAAUGCUAAUGGACUGAGAACAAUGUCUCUCUAACGGUUCAGCACCUCGGUAAAUGAGGUUCUGAUCAGUGGAGACGAGACAUCAAUUAACUCAUAUAGGGCCUUUUGAUUCUCUUCUGCAUUUAAAUAGUGGUCAUUCUUUACAAAAGGUUUCUCUAGUCCAUCUUGGCAAAGCUGUGACGUCUUAAAAGGAAAUGUCCUGCUUUGAAUGCUAAUGGACUAAGAAAAACUGUCUCUCUAACGGUUCAGCUCCUCAGUGAAAUGAGGUUCUGAUCAGUGGAGAUGAAAUAUUAGGGACACAUUUAAAUCAGUUCAUUAUGAUGACAAUUUUUUCAGACCCGAACAUAGGCCUUAAAUGCUCUAGUCCAUAUUGGCAAGCCUAUGAGGAUAGGCAAAUCCCUGCUUUGAAUGUUAAUGGACUAAGAAAAAUAUGUCUCGCUAGCCGAUCAGCAACUAUGUAAAAUGUGUUUCGAUAGCAUAUUUACCGCCUGUUGGGGAUUUUUCUUAUUUGAAGCCAUUGAUCUAUUUUGGAGUUGUUGCCAACUGACUGUUAUUUCACCAAACUUGUACUGCAGUCCAUCUUGGCAAAGUUAGAAAGCCUGCUUGGCAAUGUCUUGCUUUGAAUGCUAAUGGACUAAGAACAAUGUCUCUCUAAUGGUUCAGCACCUCGGUAAAAUGGGGUUCUGAUCAGUGGAGAUGAGACAUCAAGUAACCCAUUUGCUGCCUUCGGAACUCUUUU
Brachypodium distachyon (stiff brome) is the source of this 1134-nucleotide long non-coding RNA. RefSeq lists it as uncharacterized. The transcript has 2 exons. Lineage: Eukaryota; Viridiplantae; Streptophyta; Magnoliopsida; Poales; Poaceae. The record is from RefSeq and is a predicted model, not a curated record.